Molecule: long non-coding RNA, 634 nt
Filed under: Brassica napus (rape)
Lineage: Eukaryota; Viridiplantae; Streptophyta; Magnoliopsida; Brassicales; Brassicaceae
Description: long non-coding RNA (BNAP_LNC002365)
Source: RNAcentral
UUUUUUCUAAAAAUCGAAUCUCUGUUGACAUUAUAUAUGGGAAAAAAAGUUUGGGCCCAUGUCCCCUUGCCCCAUGGUGUAAGCCGGUCCUGAUUACGCUUCGUGGAUUUGGACAGCUUAAUCUAGGCAGGUUGUCUCCUUUCUCUUUUGCAGGUUAUAUCUAUCUUAUUUCCAGAUCUUGUCUUUUCUAAAACCCGCUUUCUAUCACACAGUGAGUUCGUUAGUGUUAGUCUCGGCGACCCUUCCUUACGGUAUGCUUUCACCUUUAUUCAUGUUUGUGAGAAAAAGUGUUAUUAAUUUCCUUUUGAAUCGACUAAUAUGUCACACUCAAGCAGAAACAUUAGCCUAACAUGAUCAAAGAUCAAACUAACCCAUGAACUCCUCGUCACCCCAAGUCCUUAUGUUUUUUGAUCACUCACUAAAACCCUUAUGCUUACACUCAUUCUUUUGAGGUGGUGUUUAACCCAAGGCACGUUUAUCUACUUAUACUAAUAGUUUUUGUGGCUAACUUUAGAUAACUUUCCAAGGAAAAUAUAUUCUUAAUAUCUUCUAUAUGGAAAAUAUAUUCUUAAAUCUUUGAUAAAAAUAGUAUGCCCAUUUUUUAAAAACCUCUCAUUUUUAACCGAUUCAAUUA